Long non-coding RNA from Symsagittifera roscoffensis, 546 nucleotides. RefSeq lists it as uncharacterized. The transcript has 2 exons. Lineage: Eukaryota; Metazoa; Xenacoelomorpha; Acoela; Convolutidae. The record is from RefSeq and is a predicted model, not a curated record.
UUGCAUCUGACAAAAUAAAUUUUCAAUUUUUUGCGUGCUUAUUAAACUCUUCUGUUUUUAGUCACGACACGGUACCAAAUUGAUUGCUUACCAAUUCAUUCUUUGCUUUCAAAAUUAAUCAACUAAUUAUAUCUCUGUAGGAUAAACGUUGGAUAUAGCUUAAUAUGAGUCAAUUUCAUAUCAAGGCUUAUUACAAGUCGGAGAUAAUACGGUUUUGUUUAAAAACGUCUUCUACUAAGAUGUGCUGCGAUAAUCUCAGAGAAGAAUUGCGAGAAAAAUUUCCAUCAUUAAGAGACUUCAAACUACAGUGGAAGGACGAGGAAGGUGAUUUGAUAAGCUUCUCGAGGGAUAAAGAACUGGAGUAUGCUCUGUCAAUUCUACCCGAUGAUGGCCUUCUCCGCGUUUAUCUCUCAGACGUAUAGAUGUCAAAAUCAUUGUCAACUCAGUCUAAUGAUAUCGUGACAAUUGCCGCUAAACAUCUGGUGGCUCAAUCAGCUCAAUCAGUUUCAAUGUAUUAUAUUUGAUUAAAUUUAAAAUUUUAAUAUG